AGCUUGAGGAAAAUGUUCACUCUUACUUAUGUGAGACUUGGGUAAGGUUGUGAAUAAAUAAUUGGAACUUGAAAUUGUGAAUACUGGAACUUGGAGGAAGCUGAUUAGUUAAGGUUUUGAGGGCUGUGUUCUUUAGAAAAAAUUAUCUUGGAAUAAUACUUGGGAAUCGGCUAAGAUGCAGGUCGAGAGGCAUCUCGUUAGGCGUCUGGGAUCUUGAAGCGGAG
Arachis ipaensis is the source of this 224-nucleotide non-coding RNA. Lineage: Eukaryota; Viridiplantae; Streptophyta; Magnoliopsida; Fabales; Fabaceae. The record is from RefSeq and is a predicted model, not a curated record.